AAAUAUGUAGCAAAUUUUUUUAGUAACAUUAUUAUUUGGCAAUAUAUUUUUUUAAUUUUAUUUAUUUAAAAAAAAUAUUUUAAAAUUUAUGGUGCAGACGUGGCAAACUAGUAAAAACCUAUCCAAAUAACAAGCCCCACUACCGAUUUUACCUCCAUUAUCAAUCUUGCAUUUCCAAAAAUCCCUCCAAUUAAAAACCUAUCUAAUAAAUCCACUACCGCCAUUUUACCUCCAUUAUCAAUCCUUAUCUCCACAAUCUUAGUGUUGUAUAGAGAUUGCCAAUUUCUCUUCUGCGUUAAAUUCCUCACGGCCCUAUUCUAGGCCGUCAUAUUCCACAAAAUACGAACCCACUAAGGUUGUGCCGCAAGCUGCAGAGUUCCAACACGUUCAGAAAGUUAUUAGGUUUGGAGAACUCGAAUUUCAGUAUUUGCCAAUAUGUUGGAUUACUUUUCCUCGACGAAGAUUUGUAGAAAAUUAGAAUUGUUUAAUCAAUUGUGUACUGUUAUUAUGUAAAGCUUUUUGUAAUUGUGACACAAAUAAUGUGAACUUUGAUAUUAUUAAUAAAGUAAAUAUUUUUAUAUUA
Salvia miltiorrhiza (redroot sage) is the source of this 583-nucleotide long non-coding RNA. RefSeq lists it as uncharacterized. The record is from RefSeq and is a predicted model, not a curated record. NCBI's taxonomy places the organism in Eukaryota, Viridiplantae, Streptophyta, Magnoliopsida, Lamiales, Lamiaceae. The transcript has 3 exons.